RNAcentral lists this ribosomal RNA (497 nucleotides) under uncultured bacterium. RNAcentral's name for it is "partial 16S ribosomal RNA". It matches the Rfam family "Bacterial small subunit ribosomal RNA", at positions 28 to 507 of the family's 1533-position model. The record is from RNAcentral.
GAUGAACGCUGGCGGCGUGCCUAAUACAUGCAAGUCGAGCGAACAGACGAGGAUCUUGCUCCUUUCACGUUAGGCGCGGGCGGGUGAGAAACACGUGGAUCCCCUCCCUAUCAGACUGGGAUAAUUUCGGGAAACCGGCGCUUAUACCGGAUAAUAUAUUGCACCGCGUUGUUCAAUAGUAAAAGUCGGUUUUGCUGGCAGUUCUCGAUGGAUCCGCGCCGCAUUGGCUAGUUGGUAGGGUAACGGCUUAUCAAGGCGACGAUGCGUAGCCGAGCUGAGAGAGUGAUCGGCCACACUGGAACUGAGACAGCGUCCAGACUCCUACGGGACGGAGCAGUAGGGUAUGGGCCGCAAUGGGCGAAAGCCUGACGGAGCAACGCCGCGUGAGUGACGAAGGUCUUCGGAUCGUGAAGCUCUGUUAUUAGGGAUGAACAAAUGUGUAAGUAAAUGUGCACGUCUUGACGGUACCUGAUCAGAAAGCAACGGCUAACUACGUG